CGUCAGCUCGUGUCGUGAGAUGUUGGGUUAAGUCCCGCAACGAGCGCAACCCUUGAUCUUAGUUGCCUACAUUUAGUUGGGCACUCUAAGGAACUGCCGGUGACUAAGCCGGAGGAAGGUGGGGAUGACGUCAAAGUCAUCAUGGCCCCUUAUGACGCUGGGCUACACACGUGCUACAAUGGAUGGUGACAAAGGGCAGCAAACUCGCGAGAGUGCAAGCCAAUCCCAUAAAAGCCAGUCUCAGUUCGGAUUGUAUCUGCAACUCGCCGAGCAUGAAGGCGGAAUCGCUAGUAAUCGCGGAUCAGCAUGCCGCGGUGAAUACGUUCCCGGCCUUGUACACACCGCCCGUCACACCACGGAGAGUUGGUUACACCCGAAGUCGGUGGAGUAACCGUAAGGAGCUAGCCGCCUAAGGUGGGACAGAUGAUUGGGGUGAAGUCGUAACAAGGUAACC
RNAcentral lists this ribosomal RNA (454 nucleotides) under uncultured bacterium. RNAcentral's name for it is "bacterial SSU rRNA". It matches the Rfam family "Bacterial small subunit ribosomal RNA", at positions 1053 to 1501 of the family's 1533-position model. The record is from RNAcentral.